GACGAACGCUGGCGGCGUGCUUAACACAUGCAAGUCGAACGGUAAGGCCCUUCGGGUACGACGAGUGGCGAACGGGUGGAGUAACACGUGGGUGAUCUGCCCUGCACUUCGGGAUAAGCCUGGGAAACUGGGUCUAAUACCGGAUAGGACCAUGGACUUCACGGUUUGUGGUGGAAAGCUUUUGCGGUGUGGGAUGGGCCCGCGGCCUAUCAGCUUGUUGGUGGGGUAACGGCCUACCCAAGGCGACGACGGGUAGCCGGCCUGAGAGGGUGUCCGGCCACACUGGGACUGAGAUACGGCCCAGACUCCUACGGGAGGCAGCAGUGGGGAAUAUUGCACAAUGGGCGCAAGCCUGAUGCAGCGACGCCGCGUGAGGGAUGACGGCCU
This 387-nucleotide ribosomal RNA is filed under the name uncultured bacterium. RNAcentral's name for it is "bacterial SSU rRNA". It matches the Rfam family "Bacterial small subunit ribosomal RNA", at positions 28 to 417 of the family's 1533-position model. The record is from RNAcentral.